GAAAGCACUCCAAGAGGCACAACCAGCAGACUCUUGAUGACCUUCAGGCAGAGGAAGACAAAGUCAACACUCUGACUAAAGCUAAGACAAGCUUGAGCAGCAAGUGGACGAUCUUGAGGGCUCAUUGGAGCAAGAGAAGAAACUUCGUAUGGACCUUGAGAGAGUCAAGAGGAAGCUUGAGGGUGAUCUGAAACUGGCCCAGGAGUCCAUAAUGGACCUGGAGAAUGAAAAA
Long non-coding RNA from Carassius auratus (goldfish), 232 nucleotides. RefSeq lists it as uncharacterized. NCBI's taxonomy places the organism in Eukaryota, Metazoa, Chordata, Actinopteri, Cypriniformes, Cyprinidae. The transcript has 2 exons. The record is from RefSeq and is a predicted model, not a curated record.